Non-coding RNA from Triticum urartu, 1953 nucleotides. NCBI's taxonomy places the organism in Eukaryota, Viridiplantae, Streptophyta, Magnoliopsida, Poales, Poaceae. The record is from RefSeq and is a predicted model, not a curated record.
GUGAAUUGCAGAAAACCACCACAUUGAAGCGUCGUGUUGCAGAAAAGACUUUUCUACAAAUUUAUGCCAGAAAACACUGAUUUUUAUCCUAAUCAUUUGCAAAAAUCACCUAACCUUCUGUUCGGGCAUUUUAACCUCUAUUACGACAUGUGGGUCCCGUAUUUGAUGAUGUGGCCCAACGUUUCAUGGUAGACGACGUUAGAUGAGGGAUUUUCUGGAUUUACAAAUCAGUCCCUGUAGUUUUACAGGAACAUCCUUCAAUCAGAAAACAAAAAGCAAUCAACUCCCUCCAUGGAUUUGGGCUGACACAGCAGCCGAGCAGAGCAGCAGAACUAUUUGCCGCAGCACCUCCACCCAAUCCUCCGGACCACCUCUUCCCAAUCCACCUGACCACCUCCCGCCGCUGGCCACCCUCCCCCCAGCCUCACCCGCCGCCGCCACGCCCUCCCCCGGCCUGACGCGCGUCCUCGCACCGUCGUCCACCCUCCCCCCAGCGUCACCUGCCGCCGCCACGCCCUCCCCCGGCCUGACGCAACUCCUGGCGCCACCGGACCCCAGCACCACCUUGCGCCGUCGUCCACCCUCCCCCCAGCGUCACCUACCGCCGCCACGCCCUCCCCUGGCCUAACGAAACUCCUGGCGCCACCGGGAGGAGGCAGCCAAGGCGCAAGCAGGCGGGGGCAGCCGGGAGGUUGGUGCGAGCCCCGUCGUAGGUUGGUGGCGCGCGGGGAUGCAGGGACCUGGCGGUGGUGCAAAGUGGGUCUCCGGAGGCGCCGCGAAGUGGGGCUCUGGCGCUGCAGCUCUGCCGAACUUGGCGGCGAGGAGGGCGCAGGCGUCCUGCAGCUCCGGCAGGUCGCCACACCAGGCGGCUGCGUAGACGAGCCCCGCCGCCGCUCCCGGAUGACCUGCUCGCGGCGGACUAGCGCGAGGUCCGGUGGCCCAGCCGGAGCAGCUCUGCCGAACUUGGCGGUGAGGAGGGCGCAGGCGUCCUGCAGCUCCGGCAGGUCGCCACACCAAGCGGCUGCGUAGACGAGCCCCGCCGCCGCUCCCGGAUGACUUGCUCGCGGCAGACUAGCGCGAGGUCCGGUGGCCCAGCCGGAGCAGCUGCUCCACGUCUCCGACAUCGCUCUCUGGCGCACUUCGCCAUGUCCCUGCAUGCACGCCGCCGGCGACAACAUCAGCUGGCGCGAGGAGGGAAGCCCGGUGACAAUAUGGAUUGGGUAGGGGAGGGAUUGGGAGGAAGGUUCUUUUUGGGAAAAUACCAGUCUAGCGGCAUCUACCACGAAACGUUAUGCCACGUCAGCAAAUGUGGGAUCCACAUGUCAUAAGAGAGGUUAAAAUGCUCGAACGGAAGGUUAGGUGGUUUCUGCAAAUGAUUAGGACAAAAUUCAGUGUUUUCUGGCACAAAUUCGUAGAAGAGUCUUUUCUGCAACACGACGCUUCAAUGUGGUGGUUUUCUGCAAUUCACUCGUCCUAUAAUAGUGGUCACACAAGAAUGAACCAAACAAGAAGAUGGAGCAAAAAUGGAAGUCACCUCCUAUUGGAACCCUGAAGAUAAAUACAGACAUGUCAUUUAUUGAAGCAAAUUUGCUAUUAGAAAUGACCAAGCCGUUCUGCUACAAAUUAUGAUCUUUCAGCACUAGGCUCUUUAUUCUAGGAUGUUAAAUUUCAAAUGUGUGUGGGCUUAAAUGUGGUAAGUGUUGAACAUUGUAGUAGAGAUUGUAACAAAGAGAGCCCAUACUUUAGCUGCGCAUGGUGGGCUUAAAUAUUGCAGGUGUUGAACACUGUAGUGGAGAUUGUAAAAAAGUAGCGUGCACUUUAGCUGUGCAUAGUGCCAGUACGGGAAGGUUUACAUAGAAACCUGCCUGGGUCAAUUCCCUGGAUUUGUAUCUUGCUGGCGAUAUGCACGUUAAGUUAAUGGAAUGCUUUAUCUCAAAAAAAAAGUUCAUGGAA